AGUUCGGACCGCAGUCUGCAACUCGACUGCGUGAAGGUGGAGUCGCUAGUAAUCGCGGAUCAGCAUGCCGCGGUGAAUACGUUCCCGGGCCUUGUACACACCGCCCGUCACACCAUGGGAGCCGGUAAUACCCGAAGUCAGUAGUCCAACCACGUGAGGACGCUGCCGAAGGUAGGAUUGGCGACUGGGGUGAAGUCGUAACAAGGUAUC
This 210-nucleotide ribosomal RNA is filed under the name uncultured bacterium. Its description in RNAcentral is "partial 16S ribosomal RNA". It matches the Rfam family "Bacterial small subunit ribosomal RNA", at positions 1290 to 1500 of the family's 1533-position model. The record is from RNAcentral.